Molecule: ribosomal RNA, 497 nt
Filed under: uncultured bacterium
Lineage: Bacteria
Description: partial 16S ribosomal RNA
Rfam family: Bacterial small subunit ribosomal RNA
Source: RNAcentral
GAUGAACGCUGGCGGCGUGCCUAAUACAUGCAAGUCGAGCGAACGGACGAGAAGCUUGCUUCUCUGAUGUUAGCGGCGGACGGGUGAGUAACACGUGGAUAACCUACCUAUAAGACUGGGAUAACUUCGGGAAACCGGAGCUAAUACCGGAUAAUAUUUUGAACCGCAUGGUUCAAAAGUGAAAGACGGUCUUGCUGUCACUUAUAGAUGGAUCCGCGCUGCAUUAGCUAGUUGGUAAGGUAACGGCUUACCAAGGCAACGAUGCAUAGCCGACCUGAGAGGGUGAUCGGCCACACUGGAACUGAGACACGGUCCAGACUCCUACGGGAGGCAGCAGUAGGGAAUCUUCCGCAAUGGGCGAAAGCCUGACGGAGCAACGCCGCGUGAGUGAUGAAGGUCUUCGGAUCGUAAAACUCUGUUAUUAGGGAAGAACAUAUGUGUAAGUAACUGUGCACAUCUUGACGGUACCUAAUCAGAAAGCCACGGCUAACUACGUU